Molecule: long non-coding RNA, 1117 nt
Filed under: Salmo salar (Atlantic salmon)
Lineage: Eukaryota; Metazoa; Chordata; Actinopteri; Salmoniformes; Salmonidae
Description: lncRNA (ENSSSAG00000117165.1)
Source: RNAcentral
GCUGACCCAAUCGAGUGGAGCAGCGUCAGAGAGGCAGAGGAGAAAAUGGACAUUUAGCCCUAUAAGUCAGAGUAGAGUUUAAAUUCAGCUCCGCCACAAGCUUUUCCUGGAAAAUUAUGUUUAGUUGGGGAGGAAAAACACAUUUUCCAGUCUUGAAACUCUUUGGGUUACAGCCUUAUUCAUCAAUCUACACACGCAAGGGAAAAGAUCAUUGCCUGCCACCAAAAGCUUUGAUGGUCUCUGUGAGAGUGAAAAACUCUCCAGAAGUGUGGGCAGAGGGGAUUAACAAUUCCAACCCCUGGCUGUUAAGGAGUGCAAAAAGACAACACGUGCAGAAGGACAACAGUGCAGUAGUCAAGGACAAUGUGUAUGGUGUUCAUUGCAGGACAUCCUCAGCGUCAUACCUCACCUCUUCUUGAGUCAAUCCUCACUCUUUGUUGAGUCAAUCAUCACCCUUUGAGUCAAUUCCCAGCACUUUUUGAUUAAAUUCUUACCUAUUCUUGAGUCAAUGCUCCUCACCCCUUUUUGAGUCAAUCAUCAUUCUUUAGAUGGAUUACCAAUGGGACAAUACAUUUGAUGUAUUGAUCAUCAGCCAAUCAAUUGACCAGUGCCCCCUUCAAUUUAAGAUGCUACUUUCUCUAUCCUGUAUGCAUAGAACUAGGGAGCAAUUCAGGUCAAUGAAAUUGCUAAUGCACCCAUUAGGGCAGAGCGUUACCAUUGUGUUUGAAAGAGCAGACGGUGAGUGUCUGUUCUUCCGUGUCUGGAAUAUUAACCAGGUACACCAGCACCAAGGACAGGUUUUUAUGCAGCCAAGUCAUGUUAACCCAGUGUAAUAUCUUUCAUAAGGGAAAUGUAUGUAUUCACUGUCUGUGGAGGGGCUUUUAAUUAUGUUGGUUAUUAAAUGAAACAGUUGAUGCAUCCCAAAUGGCACCCUAUUCACUAAAUAGUGCACUACUUUUGAACAGAGCCCUAUUUUGGUCGCCUAUGGGCUCUGGCCAAAAGUAGUGUACUAUAUAGGACAUAGGUUGCCAUGUGGGAGGCCGAUAGUGGAAGCCACUUCACCCAUCAGUCUUUAAAUGAGAGAGCCCUCAUAGGGCACAUUAGGACUUACCAUGGC